AUUGAACGCUGGGGGCAGGCCUAACACAUGCAAGUCGAACGGUAACAGGAAACAGCUUGCUGUUUCGCUGACGAGUGGCGGACGGGUGAGUAAUGUCUGGGAAACUGCCUGAUGGAGGGGGAUAACUACUGGAAACGGUAGCUAAUACCGCAUAACGUCGCAAGACCAAAGAGGGGGACCUUCGGGCCUCUUGCCAUCGGAUGUGCCCAGAUGGGAUUAGCUAGUAGGUGGGGUAACGGCUCACCUAGGCGACGAUCCCUAGCUGGUCUGAGAGGAUGACCAGCCACACUGGAACUGAGACACGGUCCAGACUCCUACGGGAGGCAGCAGUGGGGAAUAUUGCACAAUGGGCGCAAGCCUGAUGCAGCCAUGUCGCGUGUAUGAAGAAGGCCCUCGGGUUGUAAAGUACUUUCAGCGGGGAGGAAGGGAGUAAAGUCAAUACCUUUGCUCAUUGACGUUACCCGCAGAAGAAGCACCGGCUAACUCCGUGCCAGCAGCCGCGGUAA
Molecule: ribosomal RNA, 506 nt
Filed under: uncultured bacterium
Lineage: Bacteria
Description: partial 16S ribosomal RNA
Rfam family: Bacterial small subunit ribosomal RNA
Source: RNAcentral